UUGCCAUUUACUAUUCACCACUCACCCACUUCUGAAAAUCACAACCAACAAAAAAAUCUUAACCAACGGUGCUGCAACUUCACCGAUGAGAGUGAUGGCCACUCUCUCUCAGUUUCCGGGCUUCCCUUCCCUCCUCUCUCCCAAACUCGUCUUCUUCGACCCGAAACAACACCAGCUCAAACUCCGGCGAUGCACCGCUCAACAUCCACCGUCUCCGGUACACUUCUCGGUUCGCGCUUCUUCGUCCGUCAAGAAAUCCAGGCGGAGGAAGGUGAAGAGCAAUGAGGAGCUUUGCAAUGAACUCAUGGAGUUUAUCGCUGCGGUUGGACUUCCACAAGGUCAUGUUCCCUCCAUGAAAGAGCUCUCGCAGAACGGAAGGAAUGACCUUGCAUACAUUGUGAGACGGAGGGGAUAUAAACUUAUAAGAGAGCUUCUUGCGGACUCCAAAGAAUCAGAAUCGACGGAUGUGGAUGGUAAUGCGGAUAACUUUAUAGCUGAAAAUGAUGAUGGUCAGAAAGAUAUAGUGACAGGUCAGUAUCAAGAGGUGAAUGAUGUGGUUGAGGAAUUCUCAUCCUUGAGUGAAGUUUCAAUCUUGGAAAGUAGUUCUGAAGCUUUGGUUACUGAUCCAGUUCUGAAACACGAUGAUGGUGUUGAUGUACCUGUGGAAUCUUUGACGGAUUCACUUUUGCAGGACACAUCCUCAGGUAAUUUAGAAGGUCAUGGUGAACGGGUGGAUGGUAUGGAAGGCAAUGGUCGUGUGUCAAAUGUUCCUAUUAUUGAGAGUCAUGUCAAUAGUUCUAAGAUUGGUACAGCCUUCAACUCCGACCACCAUACACCAGUAGAAAUUUGCACCAAUUCAUCAUUGGAUGUACUAGAAGAUUUAUCCUUACCGACCACCAUUCCCAUCAAACAAAAUGAUUCUGAUAGUCCAAAUAUUGGUUGGGAUCUGAACUCUGAUGGACAACCUAGUGUGCCUAUAGAAUCUGGGACCCAUUGGUCCUCAGAUAAAAAAGCCUUACAUAGGGACCGGGAUGGGAAGGUUGACAAUAUGGCUGAUGAAGUUGCAUUGUCAACCAAAGCUUCAGUUAUGGAAGAGGAAGAUCAUCACUCUAGUUCAGAUCUUGAACUAAAUCAGAAUUCUGAUGACGAUAGCGAUGCACCAGUAAAAUAUCCAGUGAAUUUGCCCUUGGAGGAAAAGGUGACAAAAUUUAUGCAGAAUGGAGACCUGGAUGCACUUGAAGAUAACAUCUAUGGUGUAUCAAUUGAGAGUGAUGCUGAAGAAAUCAAGAGUAGCAAUAAGUUCGGGAAUGCUGAAGAAGUUCAACUAAGAACUCCUACUUCAGAGUACUCAAAACAUAUGUUUGAUGGAAGUGACGCAACAUCUGAGCAAAUUUUGUCUUCAACAGCAGUUGACCCCCCUCUUGGUGAUGCUACUUCAUUAGCUGAUUCGCGGAGUUCUCUAUCUGACAAGAAUUUGGAUGUUAAGACAAGUGAAAGGGAGGAUCAACAUGAUAUUAGUCGUCUCAAGUCCAUUCUGCAUCAGAAGGAGUUAGAAUUGUCUCGGUUGAAAGAACAGAUUGAGAAGGAACAGCAUGCCUUGUCGGUCUUGCAAGCAAACGCAGAAACAGCAAUCAGCGAAGCACAAAAGCUUAUCUGCGAAAAAGAUGCAGAGUUGCUUGCUGCUGAAGAAAACCUUUCAGGACUAGUGGAGGUUGAGAUCCAGUAUCAUGGUGAUGGUGAAAUUGUGGAGGUGACCGGUAGCUUCAAUGGUUGGCAUCAUCAGAUUAAAUUGGAUCCACAGCCACCAUCCAGUAUCAUAGACCAUGCUGGAUCAAGGAAAUCCAGGCUGUGGUCAACGAUGCUAUGGCUUUACCCAGGAGUAUAUGAGAUAAAAUUCCUCGUUGACGGCCAUUGGAGUAUUGAUCCUCAAAGAGAAACAGUUACUAGGGGUACAAUAUGUAAUAACAUUCUCAGAGUUGACGGUUAAAUGGCUUGGCAGGAAGGGCAUUUAUCUAUCUACCACAGUGGUAAAGUUAGUUACAUGCAUCUCAUUAGUUCUAUAUGUUUGGUUCAAAUACUGUAUCAGGCAUAGCGGGCUUAUCACUCAUAUGAAGACAAGGAAGCAGCUAAAUUAUCACUUGCUAGAUGUUUGGCCUAUCGUUGAGGGCAGAAGCAAAAUUGAAGUUGAAGCAGUCUUUAGCCUAUGCCAUCAGAACGAUAAAUCAAGUGGAAGACCACACACAGACGGAGAGGAGAGGAGAGGAGAGGAGGCACCCAGAAUCAUGAUCAUACUUCAUACCAUCGCCAUGUUCACUGUACAAAGUAGGAGGCUAUGAAAUCUGUUUUGUGCAAAUGUAUAUAUCUGCCAGUCACCAGAGCUUCAUUUUCCUAUUAAUUUUAGUUGCUUGAGGUCCGCAUACAUGGUUGCAGUAAUCUUGUUCUGGUGGAAUUCUGCUGAAUACAAAAAGAAUUAAAUUGUCGAGUAUUAGCAUAACUUGAACAUCCUCGUAACAGAUCCAGAUGCAGUUAUGCACAUGCUAUCAAAUAUUGAAUGUCAGUAUUUGAAAUCGAAACCUAUGAUUCAUGCA
This is an RNA transcript of Rosa rugosa (rugosa rose), 2588 nucleotides long. It is a transcript of the gene named protein PTST homolog 3, chloroplastic, with no coding region annotated. The record is from RefSeq and is a predicted model, not a curated record. Lineage: Eukaryota; Viridiplantae; Streptophyta; Magnoliopsida; Rosales; Rosaceae. The transcript is spliced from 13 exons.